This 533-nucleotide ribosomal RNA is filed under the name Paecilomyces variotii. RNAcentral describes it as "partial large subunit ribosomal RNA". It matches the Rfam family "Eukaryotic large subunit ribosomal RNA", at positions 73 to 610 of the family's 3401-position model. The record is from RNAcentral. Lineage: Eukaryota; Fungi; Ascomycota; Eurotiomycetes; Eurotiales; Thermoascaceae.
GAUUGCCCAGUAACGGCGAGUGAAGCGGCAAGAGCUCAAAUUUGAAAUCUGGCCCCUCCGGGGUCCGAGUUGUAAUUUGCAGAGGAUGCUUCGGGCGCGGUCCCCGUCUAAGUACCCUGGAACGGGUCGUCAUAGAGGGUGAGAAUCCCGUCUGGGACGGGUGGCCGUGUCCGUGUGAAGCUCCUUCGCCGAGUCGAGUUGUUUGGGAAUGCAGCUCUAAAUGGGUGGUAAAUUUCAUCUAAAGCUAAAUAUUGGCCGGAGACCGAUAGCGCACAAGUAGAGUGAUCGAAAGAUGAAAAGCACUUUGAAAAGAGAGUUAAACAGCACGUGAAAUUGUUGAAAGGGAAGCGCUUGCGACCAGACUCGCCCGCGGGGGUUCAGCCGGUACUCGUACCGGUGUACUCCCCCGGGGGCGGGCCAGCGUCGGUUUGGGCGGUCGGUCAAAGGCCUCCGGAAUGUGUCGCCCCCCGGGGCGUCUUAUAGCCGGAGGUGCAAUGCGGCCAGCCUGGACCGAGGAACGCGCUUCGGCUCGG